UACAGGGGGGGCAAGCGUUGUUCGGAAUUACUGGGCGUAAAGGGCCAGUAGGCGGCCAACUAAGUCACACGUGAAAUCCCCAGGCUUAACCUGGGAACUGCGUGUGAUACUGGAUGGCUUGAAUUCGGGAGAGGGAUGCAGAAUUCCAGGUGUAGCGGUGAAAUGCGUAGAUAUCUGGAGGAAUACCGGUGGCGAAGGCGGCAUCCUGGACCAACACUGGCGCUGAGUGAGCGAAAGCCAGGGGAGCAAACGGG
Molecule: ribosomal RNA, 254 nt
Filed under: uncultured bacterium
Lineage: Bacteria
Description: partial 16S ribosomal RNA
Rfam family: Bacterial small subunit ribosomal RNA
Source: RNAcentral